This 609-nucleotide ribosomal RNA is filed under the name uncultured bacterium. RNAcentral's name for it is "bacterial SSU rRNA". It matches the Rfam family "Bacterial small subunit ribosomal RNA", at positions 338 to 953 of the family's 1533-position model. The record is from RNAcentral.
CCUACGGGAGGCAGCAGUGAGGAAUAUUGGACAAUGGGCGCAAGCCUGAUCCAGCCAUGCCGCGUGCAGGAUGACGGUCCUAUGGAUUGUAAACUGCUUUUAUACAGGAAGAAACACCUCUACGUGUAGAGACUUGACGGUACUGUAAGAAUAAGGAUCGGCUAACUCCGUGCCAGCAGCCGCGGUAAUACGGAGGAUCCAAGCGUUAUCCGGAAUCAUUGGGUUUAAAGGGUCCGUAGGCGGUUUAGUAAGUCAGUGGUGAAAGCCCAUCGCUCAACGGUGGAACGGCCAUUGAUACUGCUAGACUUGAAUUAUUAGGAAGUAACUAGAAUAUGUAGUGUAGCGGUGAAAUGCUUAGAGAUUACAUGGAAUACCAAUUGCGAAGGCAGGUUACUACUAAUUGAUUGACGCUGAUGGACGAAAGCGUGGGUAGCGAACAGGAUUAGAUACCCUGGUAGUCCACGCCGUAAACGAUGGAUACUAGCUGUUGGGCGCAAGUUCAGUGGCUAAGCGAAAGUGAUAAGUAUCCACCUGGGGAGUACGAACGCAAGUUUGAAACUCAAAGGAAUUGACGGCUGAGACGAGCGACGACGACGACGAGGGAGGAGG